This 933-nucleotide ribosomal RNA is filed under the name Triticum aestivum (bread wheat). Its description in RNAcentral is "partial small subunit ribosomal RNA". The record is from RNAcentral. Lineage: Eukaryota; Viridiplantae; Streptophyta; Magnoliopsida; Poales; Poaceae.
AUGCAUGGGCGCCGUCGCUCGCCGCGCCGAGAGCAUCGACGCCGUGUCGAAAGCGUCGGCGAACGCCGACAUGGGCAGAGACAGCUCGAGGCAGCCAGGGUCGAGGCCGAAGGAAAUCUUGCAUAUGCAGUCGAAAGCGAAGCGGCGGAACACGUCCUGCAGGUCGAGCAGCUUCUCCCCGCCACCCUGUCCAGCAGUGGCAGAGUGGAGCAGAGGAAUGAGGCGGCACCUCAGCUCGGAAGCCACGACGCUGGCCGUGAACGCGCGGAUCGCCGGGGACGCGAGCUCGGCGGCGGCGAGCUUGCGCUGGAAGAGCCAGGAGUCGCCGUCGACGUUGAAUAUGCCACGGCCGAGGAAGUCGGCGAGGAUGGCGGAGAAGGGCGCGCCCUUGGGGUAGUUCUCGAACCGGCCGCGCAGCAUGUGCUCGACGGUGGCCGGGUUGGCGGUGAGCACGUUGCCGAGGACGUGCACGUGCACGGUCCGCCCGGGCUCGCGGCGCAGCAGGUGGGCGAACCAGUCGCAGAGGUUGUCGAACUCGCCCGUCCACGAUGCCGUCAGGUACGCCUCGCACACCGCGCACGCGCACCACCACGGCGGCCGCAGCCGCAUGGAGCCCAGGAGCACGGCGAGGGCCAGCGUGCACACGGCCGAGGCGAAGAAGACGGCGGCCACCGGGCUCGCCAGGGCGUGCGCCGCGACGUGACACGUGGUCGAAUCCGCGCCCGCGCCCGCGCCCAUGAGGAAGAACAUCGAUCGGGGCUUUCGCUGAGCUCCUUUCGCGCGCGUGCGCUCGGCUCUGCUUUUAUGGUAGUGUGUGCGUGCGCGUUUGGCGUUGUGGCUGCGCCUGCGGCAUUUUAUAUACCCGACCGACUACACGUCACGUACCUGAAAUGCUUUCAUCCAUCCAUCAGUCACUUAUACAGGAACUACUAG